UACGGGGGGAGCAAACGUUGUUCGGAAUCACUGGGCGUAAAGGGCGUGUAGGCGGCUGAAUAAGUGGGAUGUUAAAUCCCCGGGCUCAACCCGGGACCUGCAUCUCAUACUGUUCAGCUCGAGCACAUCAGAGGUGACUGGAAUUUACGGUGUAGCAGUGAAAUGCGUAGAGAUCGUAAGGAAGACCAGUGGCGAAGGCGGGUCUCUGGACAGUUCCUGACACUGAGGCACGAAGGCCAGGGGAGCAAACGGG
RNAcentral lists this ribosomal RNA (253 nucleotides) under uncultured bacterium. RNAcentral describes it as "partial 16S ribosomal RNA". It matches the Rfam family "Bacterial small subunit ribosomal RNA", at positions 524 to 776 of the family's 1533-position model. The record is from RNAcentral.